ACGAACGCUGGCGGCAGGCCUAACACAUGCAAGUCGAACGCCCUAGCAAUAGGGAGUGGCAGACGGGUGAGUAACGCGUGGGAACCUUCCCAGUGGUACGGAAUAACCCAUCGAAAGGUGGGCUAAUACCGCAUACGCCCGCAAGGGGAAAGAUUUAUCGCCAUUGGAUGGGCCCGCGUCGGAUUAGCUAGUUGGUAGGGUAACGGCCUACCAAGGCGACGAUCCGUAGCUGGUCUGAGAGGAUGAUCAGCCACACUGGGACUGAGACACGGCCCAGACUCCUACGGGAGGCAGCAGUGGGGAAUAUUGGACAAUGGGCGCAAGCCUGAUCCAGCCAUGCCGCGUGAGUGACGAAGGCCUUAGGGUUGUAAAGCUCUUUUGGCGGGGACGAUAAUGACGGUACCCGCAGAAUAAGCUCCGGCUAACUUCGU
RNAcentral lists this ribosomal RNA (431 nucleotides) under uncultured bacterium. RNAcentral's name for it is "bacterial SSU rRNA". It matches the Rfam family "Bacterial small subunit ribosomal RNA", at positions 29 to 506 of the family's 1533-position model. The record is from RNAcentral.